Molecule: ribosomal RNA, 489 nt
Filed under: uncultured bacterium
Lineage: Bacteria
Description: bacterial SSU rRNA
Rfam family: Bacterial small subunit ribosomal RNA
Source: RNAcentral
AUUGAACGCUGGCGGCAUGCCUUACACAUGCAAGUCGAACGGUAACAGGUCUUCGGAUGCUGACGAGUGGCGAACGGGUGAGUAAUAUAUCGGAACGUGCCCAGUAGUGGGGGAUAGCCCGGCGAAAGCCGGAUUAAUACCGCAUACGACCUGAGGGUGAAAGCGGGGGAUCGCAAGACCUCGCGCUAUUGGAGCGGCCGAUAUCAGAUUAGCUAGUUGGUGGGGUAAAGGCCUACCAAGGCUACGAUCUGUAGUUGGUCUGAGAGGACGACCAGCCACACUGGGACUGAGACACGGCCCAGACUCCUACGGGAGGCAGCAGUGGGGAAUUUUGGACAAUGGGCGCAAGCCUGAUCCAGCAAUGCCGCGUGAGGGACGAAGGUUUUCGGAUCGUAAACCUCUGUUGUACGGGAAGAAGGAAUUGACGGUACCGUACGAGUAAGCCCCGGCCAAACUACGUGCCAGCAGCCGCGGUAAUUACGUCUACUG